Molecule: ribosomal RNA, 664 nt
Filed under: Protolophus singularis
Lineage: Eukaryota; Metazoa; Arthropoda; Arachnida; Opiliones; Protolophidae
Description: partial 16S ribosomal RNA
Source: RNAcentral
UGAGGUUUAGAUGGUUUUGGAAUUUUAGUGUAAUCUGGUCAAAGCAAUUUUUGUGUUUUUUUUUGUAUUAGAGAUUUUUGAAGGAAGUAAUAUUUAUGAACAGUUUUGGGGGUAUAAAAAUUUUUUAUUAGUAAUAUGUGGGUAUGUACCUUUGGUAUCAGGGUGUAUUAAAAUUUUAGAUGUAUUUUAUUUUCCCGAAAUGGAGUGAGUUACAUGGCUAGCUCUUUAUUGUGGUAUAAAUAAGGGUAAUAGUUGAUGUGGUAGUGAGAUGCUAUUCGGACUCCGAGGUAUCUGGUUUCUGUAAAAAUUAGGGAGAUGAGUUUUAGGUUGUUGUCAGCUUAGUAUUAAGUUUGUUAGGGAUAAGCUUAACGUGCUAUUUCUAUAUUAGUGUAUCUCUAUUUGGUAUUGUAGGCUUAAGAGUAGCUUUGUGUUUUAUAACAUAUUUUAUCUAUGAUUAUUAGUUAGGCAUACAGAGGUGCUUGUAGUUUUUUAUUGGUGGUAAUAAUGGUGCAAUUAGUAGAGUUGAUUUUAGGUUUGAUAGGGAGGUGAAAAUGUUGGUGUAAAGAUUGUUUAGGUGCUAAUGAGGAACUCGGCAAAUUUAUUUUUUAACUGUUUAUCAAAAACAUUUCUCUAAGGGUGUAGUUAGUGUAAGUUCUGCCCCCUG